This 235-nucleotide long non-coding RNA is filed under the name Elaeis guineensis (African oil palm). Its description in RNAcentral is "long non-coding RNA (EGUI_LNC030600)". The record is from RNAcentral. Lineage: Eukaryota; Viridiplantae; Streptophyta; Magnoliopsida; Arecales; Arecaceae.
GGGGAUGGAAUGCCGCAAUCGGCGGCGCCGGUGGCCGAAAAAGAGAGGAAGAUGGCCCGACUGAACAGAGCAAAAACAGGGGUCAUCUUGUUCAUGGAUUUUUCGACGAUUCUGACAGCCGGCGAGGAGUCUAAAAUCAUGGAAAGAAAGAGAAGAGGGAGAGGAAGAAAGAUUGAACCCUUACCUGAACUCUGGUGGCCUCUUCGACCUUCAAUUUUCGAUGAACACGAGAAGA